Molecule: ribosomal RNA, 497 nt
Filed under: uncultured bacterium
Lineage: Bacteria
Description: partial 16S ribosomal RNA
Rfam family: Bacterial small subunit ribosomal RNA
Source: RNAcentral
GAUGAACGCUGGCGGCGUGCCUAAUACAUGCAAGUCGAGCGAACAGAUGAGGAGCUUGCUCCUCUGACGUUAGCGGCGGACGGGUGAGUAACACGUGGAUAACCUACCUAUAAGACUGGGAUAACUUCGGGAAACCGGAGCUAAUACCGGAUAAUAUAUUGAAUCGCAUGGUUCAAUAGUGAAAGACGGUUUUGCUUUCACUUAUAGAUGGAUCCGCGCCGCAUUAGCUAGUUGGUAAGGUAACGGCUUACCAAGGCAACGAUGCGUAGCCGACCUGAGAGGGUGAUCAGCCACACUGGAACUGAGACACGGUCCAGACUCCUACGGGAGGCAGCAGUAGGGAAUCUUCCGCAAUGGGCGAAAGCCGGACGGGGCAACGCCGCGUGAGUGAUGAAGGUCUUCGGAUCGUAAAACUCUGUUAUUAGGGAAGAACAAAUGUGUAAGUAACUAUGCACGUCUUGACGGUACCUAAUCAGAAAGCCACGGCUAACUACGUG